GCUCCCUCGCUCCCAAUUUAGUCCCCGUCGCUCCCAGGGACUGGAGCACAGUUGGAUCAUGCUCAGGAGGUGACACGAGCAGCUCCAGUAAAAAAAACGUCUCUCUCUCAGCCUGCUCCGUCCACUCCUCUCCCUCUAUCCAGCCCAGCCUCUCCUCUCUUCAGCCUCAGAGCCAUGGAGUCUUCCCAUGAGGUCCCCUUCAUGGAUGGUCUCACUAUGAAGGAGAUAGCCCCAGCCUCGGCCCCGGAUGCCAACGUCUACACCAAGUUCAUGAGGAACCACUGCUGCUACGACGCCAUUCCAACCAGCUCCAAACUGGUCAUCUUCGACACCACCUUGCAGGUAAAAAAAGCUUUCUUUGCUCUGGUGGCGAACGGUGUUCGGGCGGCGCCGCUGUGGGAUAACAAGCUGCAGUGUUUUGUAGGUAUGCUGACCAUCACAGACUUUAUCAACAUUCUCCACCGGUAUUGGCAGUCUCCUCUGGUAGAGAUCUACGAACUGGAGGAGCACAAGAUAGAAGACUGUAGAGAGGAAUUGCUGAAGUACUCCAACCAUACUCUGAUCAGUAUCACACCUGACUCCAGCCUUUUUGAUGCCAUCUAUUCUCUGCUGAAGUAUAAGAUCCAUCGGCUGCCUGUGAUCGACCCAGAGUCUGGCAACGUCCUGCACAUCCUCACCCACAAACGCAUCCUCAAGUUCCUGCAUAUCUUUGGCACCAUGAUCCCAAAGCCUCGGUACCUCCAGAAGAGAAUUGAGGAGGUGGACAUCGGAACAUUUAAACAGAUCGCUACUGUCCGGGAGACAGACACGGUGUACGACGCCCUGGCCAUCUUCGUACAGCGGAGGGUUUCCGCUCUGCCAGUGGUCAAUGAGGAGGGGAAAAUCAAGGCCCUGUACUCCAGGUUUGAUGUGAUUAAUCUGGCCGCUCAGAAGAACUACAAUAACCUGAACAUGACCAUGCAGGAAGCGAUCAGUAGCAGGGCCUGCUGUGUGGACGGGGUGCUGAAGUGUUACCCUCACGAGACUCUGGAGACUAUCAUCGAUCGUAUUGCUAAGGCAGAGGUCCACCGUCUCGUGCUGGUGGAUAAAGAUGACGUGGUGGGGGGGAUUGUCUCGCUCUCUGACCUCCUCCAGGCCCUGGUCUUGACCCCGGCAGGUAUUGAUGCCCUUUUCUCUUAGCACCUGACUGUGGGUUGGGGGGUCCAUCUAUCACUACCCACCACCUCCCAGCCCCUCCCCAGCCCCAACCCCAGAGAUUUCACGAAGAGCUCAAACUCUGACCACUGAAGACAAAUUGGGACACUAAUAAUGAAUGAAGACAGAAACUCUGUAAAUAUUUUUUAGAUUGUCCUCGGUAAAUUUAAAAUGCUUUUUAAAAGGUUUAUUAUUUUCUGCAGGAUAACACCAAUACUUUCAUAUUUUUAUAUUCAUACUUGUGUUUGUUUAGUACUUGUUUGUAUACAUUUUUGUAUACAUUAAUGUACAUUUUAUAAAAUCUCUCCUAUCCCGUUCAAAAUUAUUAUUUAUUUAUAUAUAUAUAUAUAUAUACACACACACAGUACCAGUCAACAGUUUAGACACACCUACUCAUUCCAGGGAUAUUCUUUAUUUUCUACAUUGUAGAAUAAUAGUGAAGACAUCAAAACUAUGAAAUAACACAUAUGGAAUCAUGUAGUAACCAAAAAAGUGUGAAACAAAUCAACAUAUAUUUUAUAUUUGAGAUUCUUCAAAGUAGCCACUCUUUGCCUUGAUGACAGCUUUGCACACUCUUGAUAUUCUCUCAACCAGUUUCACCUGGAAUGCUUUUUCAACAGUCUUUUGAAGGAGUUCCCACUUAUGCUGAGCGCUUGUUGGCUGCUUUUCCUUAACUCUGCGGUCGAACUCAUCCCAUACUAUCUCAAUUGGGUUGUGGUCGGGUGAUUGUGGAGGCCAGGUCAUCUGAUGCAACACUCCAUCACUCUCCUUUUUGGUCAAAUAGCCCUUACACAGCCUGGAUGUGUGUUGUGUCAUUGUCCUGUUGAAAAACCAAUGAUAAUCCCACUAAGCACAAACCAGAUGGGAUGGUGUAUUGCUGCAGAAUGCUGUGGUAGCCAUGCUGGUUAAGUGUGCCUUGAAUUCUAAAUAAAUCACUGACAGUGUCACCAGCUAAGCACCAUCACACCUCCUCCUCCAUGCUUCACGGUGGGAAAUACACAUGCAGAGAUCAUCCGUUUACCUACUCUGUCUCAAAAAGACACGGUGGUUGGAACCAAAAAUCUCAAAUUUGAACUCAUCAGACCAAAGGACAAAUUUCCACCUGUCUAAUGUCCAUUCCUCGUGUUUCUUGGCCCAAAAAAUUAUAUUUUUCUUAUUGGUGUCCUUUAGUAGUGGUUUCUUUGUAGCAAUUUGACCAUGAAGGCCUCGGUCAUGCAGUCUCCUCUGAACAGUUGUUGUUGAGAUGUGUCUGUUACUUGAACUCUGUGAAGCAUUUAUUUGGGCUGCAAUCUGAGGCUAGUAACUGAAUAGUACUGAAUUUAUCCUCUGCAGCAGAGGUAACUCUGGGUCUUUCUUUCCUGUGGCGGUCCUCAGGAGAGACAGGUAACUCUAAUGAACUUAUCCUCUGCAGCAGAGGUAACUCUGGACCUUCCAUUCCUGUGGUGGUCCUCAUGAGAGCCAGGUAACUCUAAUGAUCUUAUCCUCUGCAGCAGAGGUAACUCUGGGUCUUUCUUUCCUCAUGAGAGCCAGUUUCAUCAUAGAUGGUUUUUGUAACUGCACUUGAAGAAACUUUCAAAGUUCUUGAAAUGUUCCAUAUUGACUGACCUUCAUGUCUUAAAGCAAUGAUGGACUGUCGUUUCUCUUUGCUUAUUUGAGCUGUUCUUGCCAUAAUACAAACUUGGUCUAUUACCAAAUAGGGCUAUCUUCUGUAUACCAUAACUUGAAUGAGUAGGUGUGUCCAAACAUUUGACCACUACUGUAAAUAUUAUGUAUCUUUAAAUAAUGUUCUUCUUGUCCAUAAAUAUUAUGUCAUCUUUAAUGAAUAGGUCCACUGGAGUGAUGGAGGUAGAUAUGUACAGGGAUACUGGAGUGAUGGAGGUAGAUAUAUAGGGGGGAGGAGACGGAUACUGGAGUGAUGGAGGUAGAUAUAUAGGGGGAGGAGACGGA
RNA transcript from Oncorhynchus keta (chum salmon), 3141 nucleotides. It is a transcript of the gene named protein kinase, AMP-activated, gamma 3b non-catalytic subunit, with no coding region annotated. The record is from RefSeq and is a predicted model, not a curated record. The transcript is spliced from 13 exons. NCBI's taxonomy places the organism in Eukaryota, Metazoa, Chordata, Actinopteri, Salmoniformes, Salmonidae.